CCUACGGGUGGCAGCAGUGAGGAAUAUUGGUCAAUGGGCGGAAGGCUGAACCAGCCAAGUCGCGUGAAGGAAGACGGCCCUAUGAGUUGUAAACCGCUUUUGUACGAGGGCAAACGCAGACACGCGUAGCUGUCCGAAAGUAUCGGACGAAUAAGGAUCGGCUAACUCCGUGCCAGCAGCCGCGGUAAUACGGAGGAUGCAAGCGUUAUCCGGAUUUAUUGGGUUAAAAGGGUGCGCAGGCGGAAGAACAAGUCAGCGGUAAAAUUGCGGGGCUAACCCCGUACGUGCCUUUGAAACUGUUUUCCUUGAGUGUCUGAGAAGUAUUCGGAAUGCGUUGUGUAGCGGUGAAAUGCGUAGAUAUCAGGCAGAACACCAGUGGCGAAGGCAGAAUACUGGCCGUUAACUGACGGUGAGGCACGAAAGUGUGGGGAGCGAACAGGAUUAGAUACCCGAGUAGUC
This 459-nucleotide ribosomal RNA is filed under the name uncultured bacterium. Its description in RNAcentral is "partial 16S ribosomal RNA". It matches the Rfam family "Bacterial small subunit ribosomal RNA", at positions 338 to 795 of the family's 1533-position model. The record is from RNAcentral.